RNAcentral lists this transfer RNA (77 nucleotides) under Acinetobacter baumannii. RNAcentral's name for it is "tRNA-Lys". It matches the Rfam family "tRNA". Rfam says of the family: Transfer RNA (tRNA) molecules are approximately 80 nucleotides in length. Their secondary structure includes four short double-helical elements and three loops (D, anti-codon, and T loops). The record is from RNAcentral. Lineage: Bacteria; Pseudomonadati; Pseudomonadota; Gammaproteobacteria; Moraxellales; Moraxellaceae.
GUCCCUAUCGUCUAGAGGCCUAGGACAUCGCCCUUUUCACGGCGGUAACCGGGGUUCGAAUCCCCGUAGGGACGCCA